GAGCCCGUGGCUCAAUGGUAGAGCGUUCGACUCAGAUUCCAAAGGUCAGGGGAUCGAAUCCCAGAUGCUUUA
This 72-nucleotide transfer RNA is filed under the name Schistocephalus solidus. It matches the Rfam family "tRNA". Rfam says of the family: Transfer RNA (tRNA) molecules are approximately 80 nucleotides in length. Their secondary structure includes four short double-helical elements and three loops (D, anti-codon, and T loops). Further hydrogen bonds mediate the characteristic L-shaped molecular structure. tRNAs have two regions of fundamental functional importance: the anti-codon, which is responsible for specific mRNA codon recognition, and the 3' end, to which the tRNAs corresponding amino acid is attached (by aminoacyl-tRNA synthetases). tRNAs cope with the degeneracy of the genetic code in two manners: having more than one tRNA (with a specific anti-codon) for a particular amino acid; and 'wobble' base-pairing, i.e. permitting non-standard base-pairing at the 3rd anti-codon position. The record is from Rfam by way of RNAcentral. Lineage: Eukaryota; Metazoa; Platyhelminthes; Cestoda; Diphyllobothriidea; Diphyllobothriidae.